AUACGAAGGGUGCAAGCGUUAAUCGGAAUUACUGGGCGUAAAGCGCGCGUAGGUGGUUUUGUAAGUUGGAGGUGAAAGCCCCGGGCUCAACCUGGAAACUGCCUUUGUGACUGCAAGGCUAGAGUACGGCAGAGGGGCAUGGAAUUCCGUGUGUAGCGGUGAAGUGCGUAGAUAUGCGGAGGAACACCGAUGGCGAAGGCAAUCCCCUGGGCCUGUACUGACGCUCAUGCACGAAAGCGUGGGGAGCAAACAGGAUUAGAUACCCUGGUAGUCCACGCCCUAAACGAUGUCAACUGGUUGUUGGGUCUUCAUUGACUCAGUAACGAAGCUAACGCGUGAAGUUGACCGCCUGGGGAGUACGGCCGCAAGGUUGAAACUCAAAUGAAUUGACGGGG
This 395-nucleotide ribosomal RNA is filed under the name uncultured bacterium. RNAcentral describes it as "partial 16S ribosomal RNA". It matches the Rfam family "Bacterial small subunit ribosomal RNA", at positions 523 to 918 of the family's 1533-position model. The record is from RNAcentral.